GACGAACGCUGGCGGCGCGCUUAACACAUGCAAGUCGAACGGAAAGGCCUGCUUUCCCUUGUGGAUUGCGGGUACUCGAGUGGCGAACGGGUGAGUAACACGUGAGUGAUCUGCCCCCAACUUGGGUAUAAGCCUGGGAAACUGGGUCUAAUUCCCGAUAGGACUGCAGGGUGGUGCCUGUGGUGGAAAACGAUUUUCUAGUGGUUGGGGAUGAGCUCGCGGCCUAUCAGCUUGUUGGUGGGGUAAUGGCCUACCAAGGCGACGACGGGUAGCCGGCCUGGGAGGGUGGACGGCCACAUUGGGACUGAGGUACGGCCCAGACUCCUACGGGAGGCAGAAGUGGGGAAUAUUGCACAAUGGGGAGAAGCCUGAUGCAGCGACGCCGCGUGGGGAAUGACGGCCUUCGGGUUGUAAACUCCUUUCGACCGCGAGGAAGCCACCUGGUUGAAAGGGUGGUGACGGUAGUGAUAGAAGAAGCACCGGCUAACUACG
RNAcentral lists this ribosomal RNA (492 nucleotides) under uncultured bacterium. Its description in RNAcentral is "partial 16S ribosomal RNA". It matches the Rfam family "Bacterial small subunit ribosomal RNA", at positions 28 to 505 of the family's 1533-position model. The record is from RNAcentral.